This 364-nucleotide ribosomal RNA is filed under the name uncultured Archaeorhizomycetes. RNAcentral describes it as "eukaryotic LSU rRNA". It matches the Rfam family "Eukaryotic large subunit ribosomal RNA", at positions 70 to 432 of the family's 3401-position model. The record is from RNAcentral. Lineage: Eukaryota; Fungi; Ascomycota; Archaeorhizomycetes.
AGGGAUUCCCCCAGUAGUGGCGAAUGAAGCGGGAAAAGCUCAAGUUUGAAAUCUGAAGUCCACUUCAGAGUUGUAAGCUGAAGAGGUGUCGACCGACUUGGUCCGGGCCCAACUUCCUUGGAACAGGAGGUCAUGGAGGGUGAGAACCCCGUCUGUGGCUCGGGUGCCGUAGUCCUUGUGUCGCGCCCUCGAAGAGUCGGGUUGUUUGGGAAUGCAGCUCAAAAUGGGUGGUAAAUUUCAUCUAAGGCUAAAUAUUGGCGAGAGACCGAUAGCAAACAAGUAGAGUGAUCGAAAGAUGAAAAGUACUUUGAAAAGAGAGUGAAACAGUACGUGAAAUUGUUGAAAGGGAAGCGUUUGGCAUCAG